UGGGGAAUUUGGACAAUGGGGGCAACCCUGAUCCAGCCAUGCCGCGUGAGUGAAGAAGGCCUUCGGGUUGUAAAGCUCUUUCGGACGGAACGAAAUGGUUACGGAUAAUACCUGUGACUGAUGACGGUACUGUAAGAAGAAGCACCGGCUAACUACGUGCCAGCAGCCGCGGUAAUACGUAGGGUGCGAGCGUUAAUCGGAAUUACUGGGCGUAAAGCGUGCGCAGGCGGUUCGCCAAGUCAGGUGUGAAAUCCCCGGGCUUAACCUGGGAAUUGCGCUUGAAACUAGCGGGCUUGAGUGUGGCAGAGGGGGGUGGAAUUCCACGUGUAGCAGUGAAAUGCGUAGAGAUGUGGAGGAACACCGAUGGCGAAGGCAGCCCCCUGGGUCAACACUGACGCUCAUGCACGAAAGCGUGGGGAGCAAACAGGAUUAGAUACCCAAGUAGUCCCUGAGCGGGCUGGCAAGGCGCAU
This 471-nucleotide ribosomal RNA is filed under the name uncultured bacterium. Its description in RNAcentral is "bacterial SSU rRNA". It matches the Rfam family "Bacterial small subunit ribosomal RNA", at positions 356 to 825 of the family's 1533-position model. The record is from RNAcentral.